AGGAUAAACGCUGGCGGCGUGCCUUACGCAUGCAAGUCGAACGGGGGGCUUCGGCCCCCAGUGGCGGACGGGUGAGGAACACGUACGUGACCUAACGCCGAGUGGGGGAUACCCGCCCGAAAGGGCGGCUAAGACCGCAUAGCCUCCCCGGGGGUGCUCGGGGAGGAAAGGCAGCGAUGUCGCUGGGUGAGGGGCGUGCGGCCGAUUAGCUAGCUGGUGGGGUAACGGCCUACCAGGGCGACGAUCGGUAGCU
This 253-nucleotide ribosomal RNA is filed under the name uncultured bacterium. Its description in RNAcentral is "partial small subunit ribosomal RNA". It matches the Rfam family "Bacterial small subunit ribosomal RNA", at positions 26 to 288 of the family's 1533-position model. The record is from RNAcentral.